CGGCGCAUAAGCGAGCGACCGCUAAGCGAGUGGCCGCGAGCGAAAGCAAGCGACCGCGAAGAGCGACUGGCCGCGAGCGAAAGCAAGCGACCGCGAAGAGCGACUGGCCGCGAGCAAGUGACAGCUGAGGAAUGGCCGCGAGCGAAGAAAGGGCCGCGAGCGAAAGCGACUGGCCGCGAGAGCGAGUGGCUGUGAGCAAGUGACCGCGAAGCG
This 213-nucleotide long non-coding RNA is filed under the name Rosa chinensis. RNAcentral describes it as "sRNA RchiOBHm_Chr1g0372531". The record is from RNAcentral. Lineage: Eukaryota; Viridiplantae; Streptophyta; Magnoliopsida; Rosales; Rosaceae.